RNAcentral lists this ribosomal RNA (253 nucleotides) under uncultured bacterium. RNAcentral's name for it is "partial 16S ribosomal RNA". It matches the Rfam family "Bacterial small subunit ribosomal RNA", at positions 524 to 776 of the family's 1533-position model. The record is from RNAcentral.
UACGGGGGGGGCAAGCGUUGUUCGGAAUUACUGGGCGUAAAGGGCUCGUAGGCGGCCAACUAAGUCAGACGUGAAAUCCCUCGGCUCAACCGAGGAACUGCGUCUGAUACUGGAAGGCUUGAAUCCGGGAGAGGGAAGUGGAAUUCCAGGUGUAGCGGUGAAAUGCGUAGAUAUCUGGAGGAACACCGGUGGCGAAGGCGGCAUCCUGGACCGGUAUUGACGCUGAGGCGCGAAAGCUAGGGGAGCAAACGGG